AACUAACGCUGGCGGCGUGCCUAACACAUGCAAGUCGUACGAGAAAGCCGGCUUCGGCUGGUGAGUAAAGUGGCGCACGGGUGAGUAACGCGUGGAUAAUCUGCCCUUAAGUGUGGAAUAACGUACCGAAAGGUGCGCUAAUACCGCAUAAUGCCUGGCAACACAAGUUGUCCGGCCAAAGAAGGCCUCUGUUUACAAGCUUUCGCUUCAGGAUGAGUCCGCGUACCAUUAGCUUGUUGGUGGGGUAAUGGCCUACCAAGGCUGCGAUGGUUAGCUGGUCUGAGAGGAUGAUCAGCCACACUGGAACUGAGACACGGUCCAGACUCCUACGGGAGGCAGCAGUGAGGAAUAUUGCGCAAUGGGGGCAACCCUGACGCAGCAACGCCGCGUGAGUGAGGAAGGUUUUCGGACUGUAAAGCUCUGUCGAGCGGGAAGAAGUGUACCAUGGCUAAUAUCCAUGAUAUUUGACGGUACCGCUAGAGGAA
This 485-nucleotide ribosomal RNA is filed under the name uncultured bacterium. Its description in RNAcentral is "bacterial SSU rRNA". It matches the Rfam family "Bacterial small subunit ribosomal RNA", at positions 29 to 489 of the family's 1533-position model. The record is from RNAcentral.